AAAACUGUACACAUUUUUUUUUUUUUUUUUUUUUUUUUUUUUUUUUUUUUUUUUUUUUUUUUUUUUUUUUUUUUUUACUUCGAUAAAACAUGAGGGUCUAUGUGACGUAAGUAAAAUUUGGUGAAUGUGGAUUCCCUGCUCCAAUCAGAAGCUUCCAUGAUGUUCUUCAUUGAUGCACCUUUUUAAAGAGCCCAAGAAGGACCAAUAGCUCUUGUCGAAUGAGCUUUAACAGAUUUCUUUUUGUCGUUAUAUGCCAUCUGAAUGGUACUCACAAUCCAUGAUGAAAUUGUUUGACUUGAAAUUGGCUUAUGUGGAUUGCUAAUUGCUAAAAACAAUUUACUAUCUUGUCUGUUCUCACCACGAAAAUUGUCAGUGCUCUUUAGAUAGUAAGUUAAUGCCCUUUUAGGGUCAAGAAGCUUUUCUGCAUCAAAGGCAGGUACAAAAAUCUUAGCCCCAAAAUGUCCAGGACGGUCUUGUUUUGAC
RNAcentral lists this long non-coding RNA (483 nucleotides) under Mytilus galloprovincialis (Mediterranean mussel). Lineage: Eukaryota; Metazoa; Mollusca; Bivalvia; Mytilida; Mytilidae. The record is from RNAcentral.